UCCUUUUGUUGAUAAUUUAAGGUCUAACCUGCCCACUGAGAUUUUAAAUGGCCGUGGUAUUUUGACCGUGCUAAGGUAGCAUAAUCAUUAGUUUUUUAAUUAAAAACUGGAAUGAAAGGUUGGAUAAGAAAAUAGCUGUCUCUGUUAAAUUUAAUUAGAAUUUUAUUUUUAAGUUAAAAAGCUUAAUUAUUAUUAAAAGACGAGAAGACCCUAUAGAGUUUAAUUAUUUAAUAAAAAAUAUAUUUUAGUAUUUAUUUAUUUAUUUUAUUAAAUAAUUUAAUUGGGGUGAUUGAAAAAUUUAUUUAACUUUUUUUAUUUUAAAACAUUAAUUUAUGAGUAUAUGAUCCAAUAUUUUUGAUUAUAAGAUAAAAUUACCUUAGGGAUAACAGCGUAAUUUUUUUAGAAAGUUCAUAUUAAAAAAAAAGAUUGCGACCUCGAUGUUGGAUUAAAAUAAAUUUUUGGCGUAGAAGCUAAAAAUAUUAGGUCUGUUCGACCUUUAAAAUUUUACAUGAUCU
This 515-nucleotide ribosomal RNA is filed under the name Oreina cacaliae. Its description in RNAcentral is "partial 16S ribosomal RNA". The stretch from base 382 to 515 matches the Rfam family "Bacterial large subunit ribosomal RNA", at positions 2473 to 2606 of the family's 2925-position model. Lineage: Eukaryota; Metazoa; Arthropoda; Insecta; Coleoptera; Chrysomelidae. The record is from RNAcentral.